AAAGAAACCAACAGGGAUUGCCCUAGUAACGGCGAGUGAAGCGGCAACAGCUCAAAUUUGAAAUCUGGCGCUUGCGCCCGAGUUGUAAUUUGCAGAGGAUGCUUUUGGCGCGGUGCCUUCCGAGUUCCCUGGAACGGGACGCCAUAGAGGGUGAGAGCCCCGUACGGUUGGACACUAAGCCUCUGUAAAGCUCCUUCGACGAGUCGAGUAGUUUGGGAAUGCUGCUCUAAAUGGGAGGUAAAUUUCUUCUAAAGCUAAAUACCGGCCAGAGACCGAUAGCGCACAAGUAGAGUGAUCGAAAGAUGAAAAGCACUUUGAAAAGAGGGUUAAAUAGCACGUGAAAUUGUCAAAGGGGAAGGGUUUAUGACCAGACUUGUGCCUGGCGGAUCAUCCGGUGUUCUCACCGGUGCACUUCGCCUGGUAUAGGCCAGCAUCGGUUUCCGUAGGGGGAUAAAGGCUUUGGGAACGUAGCUCUCUCCGGGGAGUGUUAUAGCCCAUUGUGUAAUACCCUUAUGGGGACCGAGGACCGCGCUUCGGCUAGGAUGCUGGCAUAAUGGUUAUUAACCACCCGUCUUGAAACACGGACCAAGGAGUCGAACAUUUGUGCGAGUGUUUGGGUGUUAAACCCUCACGCGUAAUGAAAGUGAACGGAGGUGAGAGCCUUUUAGGUGCAUCAUCGACCGAUCCUGAUGUCUUCGGAUGGAUUUGAGUAAGAGCAUAAAUGUCCGGACCCGAAAGAUGGUGAACUAUGCGUGGAUAGGGUGAAGCCAGAGGAAACUCUGGUGGAGGCUCGCAGCGGUUCUGACGUGCAAAUCGAUCGUCAAAUCUGCGCAUGGGGGCGAAAGACUAAUCGAACCAUCUAGUAGCUGGUUACCGCCGAAGUUUCCCUCAGGAUAGCAGUGUUGUAUUCAGUUUUAUGAGGUAAAGCGAAUGAUUAGGGACUCGGGGGCGCUUUUUAGCCUUCAUCCAUUCUCAAACUUUAAAUAUGUAAGAAGCCCUUG
RNAcentral lists this ribosomal RNA (1001 nucleotides) under Leptosillia sp. 3 MK-2023. Its description in RNAcentral is "partial large subunit ribosomal RNA". It matches the Rfam family "Eukaryotic large subunit ribosomal RNA", at positions 58 to 1086 of the family's 3401-position model. The record is from RNAcentral. Lineage: Eukaryota; Fungi; Ascomycota; Sordariomycetes; Xylariales; Leptosilliaceae.